CCCUUAGAUGUUCUGGGCCGCACGCGUGCUACACUGAGUGGAUCAGCGGGUCAGGUUGCGCGAAAGUGUUUCCUAAUCUUUAAAUCCGCUCGUGAUGGGGAUUGACGGUUGCAAUUUUCCGUCAUGAACGAGGAAUACCUUGUAAGCGCGGGUCAUCAUCCCGCGCUGAAUACGUCCCUGCCCUUUGUACACACCGCCCGUCGCUCUUACCGAUUGAGUGGUCCGGUGAGGCUUUGGGAUCUGAGCGGAAAGAGCGUUUCGCUGUUUCUGCCCGGAAAACUCAGUCGAACCUUAUCAUUUAGAGGAAGGAGAAGUCGUAACA
This 322-nucleotide ribosomal RNA is filed under the name uncultured eukaryote. RNAcentral's name for it is "partial 18S ribosomal RNA". It matches the Rfam family "Eukaryotic small subunit ribosomal RNA", at positions 1470 to 1796 of the family's 1831-position model. The record is from RNAcentral.